Mercenaria mercenaria is the source of this 1432-nucleotide long non-coding RNA. RefSeq lists it as uncharacterized. Lineage: Eukaryota; Metazoa; Mollusca; Bivalvia; Venerida; Veneridae. The transcript has 5 exons. The record is from RefSeq and is a predicted model, not a curated record.
UCAGUGUCUCUCAAAAUUUGCUGUGAUAUUGUCGUAUCUCAACAAAAUUCCGGACGACCAUCACCGAUAGCGCUUGGAUUUAACCUUGAAAAACAAAAAUUUUCCCAGUAUGCCGUCUACGCAAAACGAAUGGAAUCUUUCGAUGCCUGGCCAGAAUAUUUACCUGUCAAGAAGAUGACCUUGUCGAAGCAGGACUUGAGUUGGGGACAGUGUACGAUGUUACUUCUGUGGCGGUGGACAGAGGAACUGGGAACAGGAUGAUGUACCAAUGGAGGUACACGCCAAGUGGUAUCCAAAAUUCCCACACAUCCUGUUAGCCAAGGGUCAGGCAUACGUUGAGGAACUUGGUCGUGGGGGAAAAUCAGAGGAAGAUAAUUCAUCAGUUCAGAUAUGUAAACAGGAUUAAUGUGUAUAAGACCUAACCAUCUUGAAAGCUGCACAAAGUUGUUUUGAAAUGGAUUACUCAAAAGCUAUGGUUCAGAAAGCGAUCGUCAAAUUCUUUGACAGAUAUGGUAACAGUGAUUUCUAGGCUAAAGACUUGUGUGAGAUUUUGUUUGAACUUGUGGAAGUGCCGACAGAAUCGUUUCCAUUUGUGUCAGAUGACGUUGUAGAUAGUACAAACACAUCUCAACGCUCAACGAGGAGUUGGAAUCCGAGGAUAUCCAGACUCCAUGUAAAUAUGUCAAUGAAGAAAUUGAGAAUUUAAAAGAAGAAAAUCAGAGACUAGGAAAACCAGAUGUGCACGAUUUGUUUGGACAAACGCGCAGAUGUGAUUUUCCUGCCUUGUGGGCACAUGGUCAGCUGUCCAGCACUUGCAAAGUGCCCCAUCUGUAGAAAAGCUAUAAAUGGACAUAUUAAAGCUUUUUUUGCUUUUGCUGUUACGAGUAGCGUAUCGUAGAACACUGGGAUACUCUAGUACACAUAUACAAACAGCAAACUCAGAAUAGUUUGCAUGGUAGAAGCAUCGGCAAACACAUUGAUUUGCAUCCAACCUGUCCUGCAUUAAUUCGCUGUAAAUGUUAUUUCAUAACUGGAAAAUAAGAAAUCCAACAAUCAUAUUGGAUGUACAAUGGUACGGUUUAAUCAGUGACUAUAUGUAUACUAUUGUAUCAAAGUUUUUCUCCCAAAUUUAGGUUUUGGGCUCUUAGUACAAGACACUAAGGGAGGAGAGAACAACAAAAUAUAAGAUUAAAUAAUCACAACAAAAGUCUAGGAAGCUAGGUUAUACAAGUCCAAGUCAUUGGCUAUGGCAUGAAAAUAUCAUACACUCGCCCGCUAAGCUCAAUAGGGAGAGCGCUGACUUAAGGAUAUCAGAGUCGUGGGUUCGAUCCCCGUGCAAGGAAAAUGUUCGCCGAGGCAAUAUAAUAGAAGACAAUGUGUCUGAAAUCAUUCGUCAUCCGCCACAAAUUUAUGUGGAGAAGUUAGCAGUUAU